Molecule: ribosomal RNA, 120 nt
Filed under: Nannospalax galili (Upper Galilee mountains blind mole rat)
Lineage: Eukaryota; Metazoa; Chordata; Mammalia; Rodentia; Spalacidae
Source: RNAcentral
GACUAUCAUCAUACCACCCCGAACAUUCUGGAUCUUGUCUAAUUUCAAAAGCUAAGCAGGGUCAGGCCUGGUUAGUACUUGGAUGGGAGACCCACCUGGAAAUAACAGGUUUUGAAGCCU